GAAAUGCGAUAAGUAAUGUGAAUUGCAGAAUUCAGUGAAUCAUCGAAUCUUUGAACGCACCUUGCGCUCCUUGGUAUUCCUUGGAGCAUGCCUGUUUGAGUAUCAUGAAAUCUUCAAAGUAAAUCUUUUGUUAACUCAAUUGGUUUCUACUUUGGUAUUGGAGGUCUUUGCAGCUUCACACCUGCUCCUCUUUGUUCAUUAGCUGGAUCUCAGUGUUAUGCUUGGUUCCACUCGGCGUGAUAAGUUAUCUAUCGCUGAGGACACUGUAAAAGGUGGCCAAAGUAAAUGCAGAUGAACCGCUUCUAAUAGUCCAUUGACUUGGACAAUACUUUUAUGAUCUGAUCUCAAAUCAGGUAGGACUACCCGCUGAACUUAAGC
Molecule: unclassified non-coding RNA, 378 nt
Filed under: plant metagenome
Description: partial contains 5.8S ribosomal RNA, internal transcribed spacer 2, and large subunit ribosomal RNA
Rfam family: 5.8S ribosomal RNA (bases 1-105)
Source: RNAcentral